This 254-nucleotide ribosomal RNA is filed under the name uncultured bacterium. Its description in RNAcentral is "partial 16S ribosomal RNA". It matches the Rfam family "Bacterial small subunit ribosomal RNA", at positions 524 to 776 of the family's 1533-position model. The record is from RNAcentral.
UACGGGGGGGGCAAGCGUUGUUCGGAAUUACUGGGCGUAAAGGGCUCGUAGGCGGCCAACUAAGUCAGACGUGAAAUCCCUCGGCUUAACCGGGGAACUGCGUCUGAUACUGGAUGGCUUGAGUUUGGGAGAGGGAUGCGGAAUUCCAGGUGUAGCGGUGAAAUGUGUAGAUAUCUGGAGGAACACCGGUGGCGAAGGCGGCAUCCUGGACCAACACUGACGCUGAGUGAGCGAAAGCCAGGGGAGCAAACGGG